Molecule: transfer RNA, 84 nt
Filed under: Candidatus Sungbacteria bacterium RIFCSPHIGHO2_02_FULL_49_12
Lineage: Bacteria; Candidatus Sungiibacteriota
Description: tRNA-Leu
Rfam family: tRNA
About the family: Transfer RNA (tRNA) molecules are approximately 80 nucleotides in length. Their secondary structure includes four short double-helical elements and three loops (D, anti-codon, and T loops). Further hydrogen bonds mediate the characteristic L-shaped molecular structure. tRNAs have two regions of fundamental functional importance: the anti-codon, which is responsible for specific mRNA codon recognition, and the 3' end, to which the tRNAs corresponding amino acid is attached (by aminoacyl-tRNA synthetases). tRNAs cope with the degeneracy of the genetic code in two manners: having more than one tRNA (with a specific anti-codon) for a particular amino acid; and 'wobble' base-pairing, i.e. permitting non-standard base-pairing at the 3rd anti-codon position.
Source: RNAcentral
GCCGCGGUGGUGGAACUGGCAGACACGCACGGUUCAGAGCCGUGUAUCCGUAAGGAUGUGGGAGUUCAAAUCUCCCCCGCGGCA